CACGUAGGAGGCAAGCGUUAUCCGGAUUUACUGGGCGUAAAGCGCGUGCAGGCGGUUCGGUAAGUUGGAUGUGAAAGCUCCUGGCUCAACUGGGAGAGGUCGUUCAAUACUACCGGACUUGAGAGCAGUAGAGGGAGGUGGAAUUCCCGGUGUAGUAGUGAAAUGCGUAGAUAUCGGGAGGAACACCAGUGGCGAAAGCGGCCUCCUGGACUGUUUCUGACGCUCAGACGCGAAAGCUAGGGGAGCAAACGGG
This 253-nucleotide ribosomal RNA is filed under the name uncultured bacterium. Its description in RNAcentral is "partial 16S ribosomal RNA". It matches the Rfam family "Bacterial small subunit ribosomal RNA", at positions 524 to 776 of the family's 1533-position model. The record is from RNAcentral.